RNAcentral lists this ribosomal RNA (800 nucleotides) under uncultured Glomus. Its description in RNAcentral is "SSU rRNA". It matches the Rfam family "Eukaryotic small subunit ribosomal RNA", at positions 314 to 1114 of the family's 1831-position model. The record is from RNAcentral. Lineage: Eukaryota; Fungi; Glomeromycota; Glomeromycetes; Glomerales; Glomeraceae.
AUCAACUUUCGAUGGUAGGAUAGAGGCCUACCAUGGUGGUAACGGGUAACGGGGUGUUAGGGCACGACACCGGAGAGGGAGCCUGAGAAACGGCUACCACAUCCAAGGAUGGCAGCAGGCGCGCAAAUUACCCAAUCCCGACACGGGGAGGUAGUGACAAUAAAUAACAAUACGGGGUUCUUUCGGAUCUCGUAAUUGGAAUGAGUACAAUUUAAAUCUCUUAACGAGGAACAAUUGGAGGGCAAGUCUGGUGCCAGCAGCCGCGGUAAUUCCAGCUCCAAUAGCGUAUAUUAAAGUUGUUGCAGUUAAAAAGCUCGUAGUUGAAUUUCGGGGUUAGUAGGCUGGUCAUGCCACCGGUAUGUACUGGUCUUACUGAUUCCUCCUUCCUGAUGAACUGUAAUGCCAUUAAUUUGGUGUUGCAGGGAAUCUGGACUGUUACUUUGAAAAAAUUAGAGUGUUUAAAGCAGGCUAACGCUUGAAUACAUUAGCAUGGAAUAGUGAAAUAGGACGUUCGAUCCUAUUUUGUUGGUUUCUAGGAUUGACGUAAUGAUUAAUAGGGAUAGUUGGGGGCAUUAGUAUUCAAUUGUCAGAGGUGAAAUUCUUGGAUUUAUUGAAGACUAACUACUGCGAAAGCAUUUGCCAAGGAUGUUUUCAUUAAUCAAGAACGAAAGUUAGGGGAUCGAAGACGAUCAGAUACCGUCGUAGUCUUAACCAUAAACUAUGCCGACUAGGGAUCGGAUGAUGUUAAUUUUUUAAUGACUCAUUUCGGCGUCUUACGGGAAACCAAAGUGUUUGGGUUC